AAUAUUGGACAAUGGGCGAAAGCCUGAUCCAGCCAUGCCGCGUGUGUGAAGAAGGUCUUCGGAUUGUAAAGCACUUUAAGUCGGGAGGAUGGGUUGGAGAUUAAUACUCUGCAAUUUUGACGUUACCAACAGAAUAAGCACCGGCUAACUUCGUGCAAGCAGCCGCGGUAAUACGAAGGGUGCAAGCGUUAAUCGGAAUUACUGGGCGUAAAGCGCGCGUAGGUGGUUUGUCAAGUUGGAAGUGAAAGCCCCGGGCUCAACCUGGGAAUUGCUUUCAAAACUGGCGAGCUAGAGUACGGUAGAGGGUGGUGGAAUUUCCUGUGUAGCGGUGAAAUGCGUAGAUAUAGGAAGGAACAUCAGUGGCGAAGGCGACCACCUGGACUGAUACUGACACUGAGGUGCGAAAGCGUGGGGAGCAAACAGG
Molecule: ribosomal RNA, 424 nt
Filed under: uncultured bacterium
Lineage: Bacteria
Description: partial 16S ribosomal RNA
Rfam family: Bacterial small subunit ribosomal RNA
Source: RNAcentral